AAACCAACAGGGAUUGCCUUAGUAGCGGCGAGUGAAGCGGCAAAAGCUCAAAUUUGAAAUCUGGCACCUUCGGUGUCCGAGUUGUAAUUUGAAGAUUGUAACCUUGGGGUUGGCUCUUGUCUAUGUUUCUUGGAACAGGACGUCACAGAGGGUGAGAAUCCCGUGCGAUGAGAUGCCCAAUCCUAUGUAAGGUGCUUUCGAAGAGUCGAGUUGUUUGGGAAUGCAGCUCUAAGUGGGUGGUAAAUUCCAUCUAAAGCUAAAUAUUGGCGAGAGACCGAUAGCGAACAAGUACAGUGAUGGAAAGAUGAAAAGAACUUUGAAAAGAGAGUGAAAAAGUACGUGAAAUUGUUGAAAGGGAAGGGUUUGAGAUCAGACUCGAUAUUUUGUGAGCCUUGCCUUCGUGGCGGGGUGACCCGCAGCUUAUCGGGCCAGCAUCGGUUUGGGCGGUAGGAUAAUGGCGUAGGAAUGUGACUUUGCUUCGGUGAAGUGUUAUAGCCUGCGUUGAUGCUGCCUUGCCUAGACCGAGGACUGCGAUUU
RNAcentral lists this ribosomal RNA (537 nucleotides) under Meyerozyma caribbica. RNAcentral describes it as "LSU rRNA". It matches the Rfam family "Eukaryotic large subunit ribosomal RNA", at positions 62 to 603 of the family's 3401-position model. Lineage: Eukaryota; Fungi; Ascomycota; Pichiomycetes; Serinales; Debaryomycetaceae. The record is from RNAcentral.